CCUACGGGGGGCUGCAGUGGGGAAUAUUGGACAAUGGGGGCAACCCUGAUCCAGCCAUGCCGCGUGUGUGAAGAAGGCCCUCGGGUUGUAAAGCACUUUCAGUGAGGAAGAACGCCUGGUGGUUAAUACCCAUCAGGAAAGACAUCACUCACAGAAGAAGCACCGGCUAACUCCGUGCCAGCAGCCGCGGUAAUACGGAGGGUGCGAGCGUUAAUCGGAAUUACUGGGCGUAAAGCGCGCGUAGGUGGCUUGAUAAGCCGGUUGUGAAAGCCCCGGGCUCAACCUGGGAACGGCAUCCGGAACUGUCAAGCUAGAGUGCAGGAGCGGAAAGUAGAAUUCCCGGUGUAGCGGUGAAAUGCGCAGAGAUCGGGAGGAAUACCAGUGGCGAAGGCGGCCUUCUGGACUGACACUGACACUGCGGUGCGAAGGCGUGGGUAGCAAACAGGAUUAGAUACCCCAGUAGUC
RNAcentral lists this ribosomal RNA (465 nucleotides) under Vreelandella stevensii. RNAcentral describes it as "partial 16S ribosomal RNA". It matches the Rfam family "Bacterial small subunit ribosomal RNA", at positions 338 to 795 of the family's 1533-position model. Lineage: Bacteria; Pseudomonadati; Pseudomonadota; Gammaproteobacteria; Oceanospirillales; Halomonadaceae. The record is from RNAcentral.